Molecule: ribosomal RNA, 292 nt
Filed under: uncultured bacterium
Lineage: Bacteria
Also listed under: 1 other name
Description: partial 16S ribosomal RNA
Source: RNAcentral
GGACUACUGGGGUUUCUAAUCCUGUUUGCUCCCCACGCUUUCGUGCAUGAGCGUCAGUUUUGACCCAGGGGGCUGCCUUCGCCAUCGGUGUUCCUCCACAUAUCUACGCAUUUCACUGCUACACGUGGAAUUCUACCCCCCUCUGCCAAACUCUAGCCUUGCAGUCACCAUCGCCAUUCCCAGGUUGAGCCCGGGGAUUUCACGACAGUCUUACAAAACCGCCUGCGCACGCUUUACGCCCAGUAAUUCCGAUUAACGCUUGCACCCUACGUAUUACCGCGGCGGCUGGCAC